GGAGCCCUUAGGAAGGUUACCCUAAUGUUCGACUAGCCCUUCCUGAGUGCCUGAGGCUGGAGACAGCAGCCACUUCUGCCUCACCAGCUACUCUCCGUUUAUAACCCCUUCACUUGAAGUACCAGAGUUCAGAGGGAAUCAGUUAUGAACCAAGAGGGAAAGCAUGGUUGGAAAGAAAAGCUCAGCGUCUCACGCUCUCAUCAAUUCUUUCAAAAACUGAGUUAAGGGUGCUGCCAAGCCCUUGCCUUUGCUACCUCAGUGUUUCUACUUGUUAAAGGAUGAUGAAGAUGCUAGUAACUCUGGGAACAAACAUGGAAUGCGUAUCAACCGGCCACUAAAUAAAACAGAUUUCAGGUGCGAAUAGAAACAAAAAACUGGGGAAGUACGAAGAGUUUUAAGGAUAAAAAAAAACCUAAAAAGAUAAUCCUUUUAAGAAGCUGAUUUUUUUUCUUAGUCAUUCCAGAAGUAAGAGGGACAGGGUAAUACCGCCAAUGCUUAACUCCAAAAUAGAUAAAAGAUUUUUUUAAAAAGAGAGAGGCUGCUCUAUUGAGGAAAAAAGCCCUGAAAUAACCUAUCACUGGUGUUCAGAAGUCACAAGGUCAUCAUUCAUCUUUAUAAAAGGAGACACUGAACAAAGAUGAAUAAGGUUAUGGUCGAAGAAGAAGGCAAUGGAGAAGGCGAUGGCACCCCACUCCAGUACUCUUGCCUGGAAAAUCCCAUGAACCGAGGAGCCUGGUGGGCUGCAGUCCAUGGGGUCUCGAAGAGUUGGACACGACUGAAGCAACUUAGCAGCAGCAGCAGCAGCAGCUUAUAGUAAUGCUCAACUAAAGUGAGAAGAAAGCUCUGGCAAAAAAACUUUCUUCCUCUUUCUCCUCAACAUCAGUCUCAACAGUCUUUGGGUAACUGAGACUCAUGUUUCAAAGAGCAUGGGGCCGAUCUUAGAUUGGUUGUGAUUCUUCUCAUUAUCACAGACAGUAAUUGUGCCUCUCCUUUGAAAUAAUUCAUGCCCAGGCCUGAUGAGUUUGCCCUCUUUACAUAUUCAUAGCUUUUUGUUGAUUUAUUGUAUGUAGCUGUAUCUUUUCCAGUUUAAAAAGAUCAUUUUCAGAAAGAUAAGCAGUGGUUUCUUAAUGAUGAUAUUUGAUUAACCCCAAUAAAUGAUUCAGCAAAGUGUUGGCUUUUAAAGAU
RNAcentral lists this long non-coding RNA (1185 nucleotides) under Bos indicus x Bos taurus (hybrid cattle). RNAcentral describes it as "lncRNA (ENSBIXG00000028594.1)". The record is from RNAcentral. Lineage: Eukaryota; Metazoa; Chordata; Mammalia; Artiodactyla; Bovidae.